This 468-nucleotide ribosomal RNA is filed under the name uncultured bacterium. RNAcentral's name for it is "partial 16S ribosomal RNA". It matches the Rfam family "Bacterial small subunit ribosomal RNA", at positions 28 to 507 of the family's 1533-position model. The record is from RNAcentral.
GACGAACGCUGGCGGCGUGCUUAACACAUGCAAGUCGAACGGAAAGGCCCUGCUUUUGUGGGGUGCUCGAGUGGCGAACGGGUGAGUAACACGUGAGUAACCUGCCCUUGACUUUGGGAUAACUUCAGGAAACUGGGGCUAAUACCGGAUAGGAGCUCCUGCUGCAUGGUGGGGGUUGGAAAGUUUCGGCGGUUGGGGAUGGACUCGCGGCUUAUCAGCUUGUUGGUGGGGUAGUGGCUUACCAAGGCUUUGACGGGUAGCCGGCCUGAGAGGGUGACCGGCCACAUUGGUACUGAGAUACGGCCCAGACUCCUACGGGAGGCAGCGGUGGGGAAUAUUGCCCAAUGGGCGGAAGCCUGAUGCAGCAACGCCGCGUGCGGGAUGACGGCCUUCGGGUUGUAAACCGCUUUCGCCUGUGACGAAGCGUGAGUGACGGUAAUGGGUAAAGAAGCACCGGCUAACUACGUG